RNAcentral lists this unclassified non-coding RNA (373 nucleotides) under uncultured Sphingobacteriales bacterium. RNAcentral's name for it is "contains 16S-23S intergenic spacer region". The record is from RNAcentral. Lineage: Bacteria; Pseudomonadati; Bacteroidota; Sphingobacteriia; Sphingobacteriales.
UCACCGCUUGCGCGGGCAGUUCUAUUAGAGUCCCCAGCAUAACCUGAUGGCAACUAAUAGUAGGGGUUGCGCUCGUUGCAGGACUUAACCUAACACCUCACGGCACGAGCUGACGACAGCCAUGCAGCACCUAGUUUCGUGUCAUUGCUGACUGACCCUUUUCUGAGUCAUUCACUAACUUUCAAGCCCGGGUAAGGUUCCUCGCGUAUCAUCGAAUUAAACCACAUGCUCCUCCGCUUGUGCGGGCCCCCGUCAAUUCCUUUGAGUUUCAACCUUGCGGUCGUACUUCCCAGGUGGAUAACUUAAUGCUUUCGCUUAGACGCGUGCUGUGUAUCGCACACAUCGAGUUAUCAUCGUUUAGGGCGUGGACUAC